This 481-nucleotide ribosomal RNA is filed under the name uncultured bacterium. RNAcentral describes it as "partial 16S ribosomal RNA". It matches the Rfam family "Bacterial small subunit ribosomal RNA", at positions 28 to 507 of the family's 1533-position model. The record is from RNAcentral.
GAUGAACGCUGGCGGCGUGCCUAACACAUGCCAGUCGAACGGAGAUUACGGACGGAAGUUUUCGGAUGGAAGCCUGUAAUUCUUAGUGGCGGACGGGUGAGUAACGCGUGGGCAACCUGCCCUAUACAGGGGGAUAGCAGCCGGAAACGGCUGGUAAGACCGCAUAAGUCGGUUAAAUCGCAUGAUUUGAUCGGGAAAUGAGCAAUCAGGUAUAGGAUGGGCCCGCGUCCGAUUAGCCAGUUGGCAGGGUAAAAGCCUACCAAAGCGACGAUCGGUAGCCGGACUGAGAGGUCGGACGGCCACAUUGGGACUGAGACACGGCCCAAACUCCUACGGGAGGCAGCAGUGGGGGAUAUUGCACAAUGGAGGAAACUCUGAUGCAGCGACGCCGCGUGAGUGAAGAAGUAUUUCGGGAUGUAAAGCUCUAUCAGCAGGGAAGAUGAUGACGGUACCUGACGAAGAAGCCCCGGCUAACUACGUG